This 211-nucleotide long non-coding RNA is filed under the name Lathyrus oleraceus (garden pea). Its description in RNAcentral is "Pisum sativum (pea) long non-coding RNA (PSAT_LNC004618)". Lineage: Eukaryota; Viridiplantae; Streptophyta; Magnoliopsida; Fabales; Fabaceae. The record is from RNAcentral.
GUUGAUUGAGAUGCAGAGAGACAUUUUUAUGAAAUUUCAAAAUGAAAAAAAUCUCCUCUCAUUACACAACAUAUGUCAAAUGGAGUUUAAAAAAUAAAACAAAAAAUCUCCUUUUUAGUCGUCUCAAUGCGUAUUAUCAGAAGAAGAAGAAAUACAAUCUCCUUCUUCUCCAAACCAUUCUUUCUCGAGGUGCAUAAAAUCAAAACCCCAU